This 800-nucleotide ribosomal RNA is filed under the name Halomonas sp. Its description in RNAcentral is "bacterial SSU rRNA". It matches the Rfam family "Bacterial small subunit ribosomal RNA", at positions 64 to 861 of the family's 1533-position model. The record is from RNAcentral. Lineage: Bacteria; Pseudomonadati; Pseudomonadota; Gammaproteobacteria; Oceanospirillales; Halomonadaceae.
GAGCGGUAACAGAUCCAGCUUGCUGGAUGCUGACGAGCGGCGGACGGGUGAGUAAUGCAUAGGAAUCUGCCCGAUAGUGGGGGAUAACCUGGGGAAACCCAGGCUAAUACCGCAUACGUCCUACGGGAGAAAGGGGGCUCCGGCUCCCGCUAUGGGAUGAGCCUAUGUCGGAUUAGCUAGUUGGUGAGGUAACGGCUCACCAAGGCGACGAUCCGUAGCUGGUCUGAGAGGAUGAUCAGCCACAUCGGGACUGAGACACGGCCCGAACUCCUACGGGAGGCAGCAGUGGGGAAUAUUGGACAAUGGGGGAAACCCUGAUCCAGCCAUGCCGCGUGUGUGAAGAAGGCCCUCGGGUUGUAAAGCACUUUCAGCGAGGAAGAACGCCUAGCGGUUAAUACCCGCUAGGAAAGACAUCACUCGCAGAAGAAGCACCGGCUAACUCCGUGCCAGCAGCCGCGGUAAUACGGAGGGUGCAAGCGUUAAUCGGAAUUACUGGGCGUAAAGCGCGCGUAGGUGGCUUGAUAAGCCGGUUGUGAAAGCCCCGGGCUCAACCUGGGAACGGCAUCCGGAACUGUCAAGCUAGAGUGCAGGAGAGGAAGGUAGAAUUCCCGGUGUAGCGGUGAAAUGCGUAGAGAUCGGGAGGAAUACCAGUGGCGAAGGCGGCCUUCUGGACUGACACUGACACUGAGGUGCGAAAGCGUGGGUAGCAAACAGGAUUAGAUACCCUGGUAGUCCACGCCGUAAACGAUGUCGACCAGCCGUUGGGUGCCUAGCGCACUUUGUGGCGAAGUUAACGCGAU